AACGAACGCUGGCGGAAGGAAGAAAAGAGGCAAAUCGAAAGACACCUUCGGGUCUAGUGGAGCACGGGUGCGUAACGCGUGGGAACCUGCCCUUAGGUUCGGAAUAACUCCCCGAAAGGGGUGCUAAUACCGGAUAAUGUCUUCGGACCAAAGAUUUAUCGCCUUUGGAUGGGCCCGCGUUGGAUUAGCUAGUUGGUAGGGUAAAAGCCUACCAAGGCGACGAUCCAUAGCUGGUCUGAGAGGAUGAUCAGCCACACUGGGACUGAGACACGGCCCAGACUCCUACGGGAGGCAGCAGUGGGGAAUAUUGGACAAUGGGCGAAAGCCUGAUCCAGCAAUGCCGCGUGCCUCAUCCCGGCUGUAGGGUUGUAAAGCUCUUUUACCCGGGAUGAUAAUGACAGUACCGGGAGAAUAAGCUCCUGCUCCCUCCGUC
This 433-nucleotide ribosomal RNA is filed under the name uncultured bacterium. RNAcentral describes it as "partial 16S ribosomal RNA". It matches the Rfam family "Bacterial small subunit ribosomal RNA", at positions 29 to 507 of the family's 1533-position model. The record is from RNAcentral.